RNAcentral lists this ribosomal RNA (654 nucleotides) under uncultured Vibrio sp. RNAcentral describes it as "bacterial SSU rRNA". It matches the Rfam family "Bacterial small subunit ribosomal RNA", at positions 78 to 731 of the family's 1533-position model. The record is from RNAcentral. Lineage: Bacteria; Pseudomonadati; Pseudomonadota; Gammaproteobacteria; Vibrionales; Vibrionaceae.
GGGAACAUAACGGCGUCAGCGGCGGACGGGUGAGUAAUGCCUAGGAAAUUGCCCUGGUGUGGGGGAUAACCAUUGGAAACGAUGGCUAAUACCGCAUAAUACCUACGGGUCAAAGAGGGGGACCUUCGGGCCUCUCGCGUCAGGAUAUGCCUAGGUGGGAUUAGCUAGUUGGUGAGGUAAUGGCUCACCAGGCGACAUCCCUAGCUGGUCUGAGAGGAUGAUCACCACACUGGAACUGAGACACGGUCCAGACUCCUACGGGAGGCAGCAGUGGGGAAUAUUGCACAAUGGGCGCAAGCCUGAUGCAGCCUGCCGCGUGUGUGAAGAAGGCCUUCGGGUUGUAAAGCACUUUCAGUCGUGAGGAAGGUAGUGUAGUUAAUAGCUGCAUUAUUUGACGUUAGCGACAGAAGAAGCACCGGCUAACUCCGUGCCAGCAGCCGCGGUAAUACGGAGGGUGCGAGCGUUAAUCGGAAUUACUGGGCGUAAAGCGCAUGCAGGUGGUUUGUUAAGUCAGAUGUGAAAGCCCGGGGCUCAACCUCGGAAUAGCAUUUGAAACUGGCAGACUAGAGUACUGUAGAGGGGGGUAGAAUUUCAGGUGUAGCGGUGAAAUGCGUAGAGAUCUGAAGGAAUACCGGUGGCGAAGGCGGCCCCCUG